AAGUCGUAACAAGGUCUCCGUUGGUGAACCAGCGGAAGGAUCAUUAAAGAUUCGACCUUCGGGUCUAUCUUCUCUUCAGCUGUGCGCCUCGGCUGCACGCUGUUGAAUCUCACACACCUGUGCACUUGUUAUCGGGGCUUGUUGUUAAAGAUAAGCCCUGCUUAAUCACAUACUCUUAUUAUUUACUUUGAAUGUUUAUCAAGUCGAAAGACUUUUAAAUCAAUACAACUUUUAACAACGGAUCUCUUGGCUCUC
This 255-nucleotide unclassified non-coding RNA is filed under the name fungal sp. Its description in RNAcentral is "partial internal transcribed spacer region". The stretch from base 1 to 46 matches the Rfam family "Eukaryotic small subunit ribosomal RNA", at positions 1786 to 1831 of the family's 1831-position model. The record is from RNAcentral. Lineage: Eukaryota; Fungi.